AACCCAUAAACUUUCAUGCCUUCUCCUCUUCCCCACACUGCCUUUUCACGCUUUCUCCUCUUCCCUCCACUGCCUGCCUUCUCCUCUUCCCUCCAAACAUGGUCGUCCAACUUCUUCACGAUCCCCCCCCCCUUGCUCAUUAGUGAGUCAAUCUCACUCUUGCGUAAUCUGCAGCUAGUACAGAGAAGUUCGAUCCCUUCCUUGCUGGUCAGAAGUUUUAAAUUCAUGAUGGAGCCAGAUCUGAUUUUUGGUGAAGUAGUAGAUAAGAACAGAGCAUUUGAAGACGCUGAUGAAGAUGCUGUCAUCUUUGAGGAAAUUAGGGAUUCUUCGGAUGAUCAACAAGUAGAGCAUAUCAUGAUGUUGCAGCCUAAGAAGGGGAUGACGUUCGAUAGUGAGGAUGCUGCUGUUAGCUUCUACAAAGAUUAUGCCAAAAAAGAGGGCUUUGGUGUAAUAAGAAGAACCACUAGACAUGGAGAAGAUAGCAAGCUUGUUUAUUUUACUCUUGCUUGUAACAGGCAAGGGAAGGCUCAAUAUUCAUCCAAGAACUCAUUUAAACCUAAUCCAUCAACGAGGAUGCAAUGCCCAGCUAAGAUUAACUUCUCUCGUCAUGAGGAGAAGUUCCGCAUUACAUCUAUUACGCUUGACCACAAUCAUCCUAUAAGUCCAAGUAAAGCCAGAUUUCUGAGAUGUCACAAGAAACUGAACUUGCAUGCCAAGAGAAGGCUGGAAUUGAAUGAUCAAGCAGGAAUCCGUCUGAAUAAAAAAAUUGGUUCUCUUGUUAUGGAAGCUGGUGGGUAUGGUAAUCUUGAGUUCGGUGAAAAGGAGUGCAGGAACUAUUUGCAAGAGACAAGAAGGCUGAAACUUGGUGCCGGAGAUGCACAUGCUGUCUACCAAUAUUUUCUUCGGAUGCAAUCAAAAGAUCCUGACUUUUUCCAUCUUAUGGAUGUGGAUAAGGAUGGGAGACUGAGAAAUGUCUUUUGGGCAGAUGCAAGAAGUAGGGCAACAUAUGAAUCUUAUUGUGAUGUCAUCACAUUUGACACUACAUACUUAACAAACAAGUAUAGCAUGCCAUUUGCUCCCUUUGUUGGCGUAAAUCAUCAUGGAGAAUCAGUUCUGUUAGGUUGUGGCCUUCUAUCCAACGAAGACACCGGCACUUUUGCGUGGUUAUUUAAAUCUUGGCUAUGUUGUAUGUCAAACAAACCACCAAAUGUUAUAAUCACUGACCAGUGCAAAGCAAUGCAGAAUGCUAUUGAAGAAGUUUUUCCUCAAGCUCGUCACAGAUGGUGGAUAUGGCAUAUCAUGAAGAAGAUUCCUGAAAAGCUUAGUGGGUAUGAUAAGUAUGAGAAUAUUAAAUAUACCUUGUCAAAUGUGGUGUACGAUUCCUUGACAAAAUGUGAUUUUGACAAAGCUUGGGUGGAGAUGAUCAAUAAAUAUGAUCUUCACGAAAAUGAAUGGCUUGCCGGAUUAUAUGAUGAAAAAAAUCGGUGGGUACCAGCAUAUGUAAAAGAUACUUUUUGGGCAGGGAUGUCUUCAACACAAAGGAGUGAGAGUGUGAAUGCCUUCUUUGAUGGGUAUGUUCACGCUAGAACAACUCUAAAGCAAUUUGUGGAGCAGUAUGAAAAUGCAUUAAGAGACAAGGUAGAGAAAGAAACCAAGGCUGAUUCUAAGUCGUUCCAAGAGGAAAUUCCAUGCAUUACUCAUUUUGACUUCGAGAAGCAAUUUCAAGUAGCAUAUACCAAUGCAAAGUUUCAAGAGUUUCAAGAGAAAUUAAGAGGGAAAAUCUAUUGCUAUCCAUCUCUGCUAAACAAUGAAGGGCCACUUCUUACAUUUAGAAUUAGAGAGGACCGUAAGAUUUUUUUUUAAGGAGAGGAUGGCAGCAUUAAAGAGAAAUGGAUUAUUUCAAAUUUCACUGUCUUGUUCAAGCAAGAGGAAUGUGAUGUGUCGUGUAUUUGUAGGCUUUUUGAAUUUCGAGGCAUCUUGUGUAGCCACAUCAUUACCGUGCUUGCUCUCAUGGGGAUCAAAUAUGUACCUUCUAGGUAUAUAUUGCAGCGAUGGAGAAAGGAUUUUAAGCGCAAACACGUAUUUAUUAAAUGCUCCUACGAUGAUAUGUUGAAUACACCAGUUGUGCAGCAUUAUGAUGAAUUAUGCAAGCGUUCUCACGAAGUGGCAGAGAAAGGUGCAGAGUCCGAUGAAUUGCGUGACUUGGUGAUGGAUGGGCUUGAUCAGUUAGAAAGAAAGGUUGAUGCAUACCGUGCUAACCAUGCUUUUCAAGUACAGGCAGAAGAUCCAACAUCAAAGCAUGAAGAUAAAAUGUUAAAGAAAGAAAAACUUGUACUCAGUCCAAUCCCUGUUCGCAGUGCAGGCCGUCCUCGUUCAAAGAGAAAGCUAUCUAAAGUGGAUCAAUUGAUCCAAAAAUUGAGAGCAAAGAAGCGGCAGGUGCCAACAAGUACAACCAAAGUGCAGACUCAUAAGGGGAGAAAGCAGAAUUACGUCAUCAAAUCAAAAGGUGGGCAAGACGCUAAUCUCCAGAGUUCACAACAAACAGAGGGAAAUAUUCACUAUGAAGGGUAUGGGGCUAGAAGUUAUUGGUUCUUUCCAAAUGAGUUUCAGGGAAAGAAAAAUGCCAUGGAUCUGCUAGCUGCCAACCUGAAGGAAUGAAAAAUACAUGCUCUGGAGUCUGUUGUACUUCUGAAUGGAUUUGACGACAAUGUCGCUUAUAGCAUUGGAUGCCUCCAUUUAUUUUCAUUAAUGUAAUCGUAUUGUGAGAGCCAUCUGUCUGUGUCAUCUAGAACAGCUUGUGAGUACUAAUUUAUCUCUUUUGGAGACAGAGUUAUCUAGAUCAACUUUUGGAGAUAUGUACAAGAGCAAUUCUUGUUUGCA
This is an RNA transcript of Triticum aestivum (bread wheat), 2880 nucleotides long. RefSeq lists it as uncharacterized. Lineage: Eukaryota; Viridiplantae; Streptophyta; Magnoliopsida; Poales; Poaceae. The transcript is spliced from 5 exons. The record is from RefSeq and is a predicted model, not a curated record.